GAUGAAGAACGUAGCGAAAUGCGAUAAGUAAUGUGAAUUGCAGAAUUCAGUGAAUCAUCGAAUCUUUGAACGCACAUUGCGCCCAUUAGUAUUCUAAUGGGCAUGCCUGUUCGAGCGUCAUUUCAACCCUCAAGCCUUAGUUGCUUGGUGUUGGGAGCUUAUCCUGCCGCAAGGCGGGACAACUCCUUAAAUUUAUUGGCGGAGUCGCGGUGACCCCAAGCGCAGUAAUUCCUUUUCUCGCUUUAGGUGUUAACGCUGGCUUCUAGCCAUUAAACCCUCUAAUUUCUCAAUGGUUGACCUCGGAUCAGGUAGGACUACCCGCUGAACUUAAGCAUAUCAAUAAGCGGAGGA
Molecule: unclassified non-coding RNA, 351 nt
Filed under: soil metagenome
Description: partial contains 5.8S ribosomal RNA, internal transcribed spacer 2, and large subunit ribosomal RNA
Rfam family: 5.8S ribosomal RNA (bases 1-120)
Source: RNAcentral